This 433-nucleotide ribosomal RNA is filed under the name uncultured bacterium. RNAcentral's name for it is "partial 16S ribosomal RNA". It matches the Rfam family "Bacterial small subunit ribosomal RNA", at positions 29 to 507 of the family's 1533-position model. The record is from RNAcentral.
AACGAACGCUGGCGGCAUGCCUAACACAUGCAAGUCGAACGAGACCUUCGGGUCUAGUGGCGCACGGGUGCGUAACGCGUGGGAACCUGCCCUUAGGUUCGGAAUAACUCCCCGAAAGGGGUGCUAAUACCGGAUAAUGUCUUCGGACCAAAGAUUUAUCGCCUUUGGAUGGGCCCGCGUUGGUUUAGCUAGUUGGUAGGGUAAAAGCCUACCAAGGCGACGAUCCAUAGCUGGUCUGAGAGGAUGAUCAGCCACACUGGGACUGAGACACGGCCCAGACUCCUACGGGAGGCAGCAGUGGGGAAUAUUGGAAAAUGGGCGAAAGCCUGAUCCAGCAAUGCCGCGUGAGUGAUGAAGGCCUUAGGGUUGUAAAGCUCUUUUACCCGGGAUGAUAAUGACAGUACCGGGAGAAUAAGCUCCGGCUAACUCCGUG